This 157-nucleotide ribosomal RNA is filed under the name Dermatocarpon taminium. Its description in RNAcentral is "5.8S ribosomal RNA". It matches the Rfam family "5.8S ribosomal RNA". From Rfam's summary of the family: 5.8S ribosomal RNA (5.8S rRNA) is a component of the large subunit of the eukaryotic ribosome. It is transcribed by RNA polymerase I as part of the 45S precursor that also contains 18S and 28S rRNA. Functionally, it is thought that 5.8S rRNA may be involved in ribosome translocation. The record is from RNAcentral. Lineage: Eukaryota; Fungi; Ascomycota; Eurotiomycetes; Verrucariales; Verrucariaceae.
AAAACUUUCAACAACGGAUCUCUUGGUUCUGGCAUCGAUGAAGAACGCACGAAAUGCGAUAAGUAAUGCCAAUUGCAGAAUUCCGUGAGUCAUCGAAUCUUUGAACGCACAUUGCGCCCUCCGGUAUUCCGGAGGGCAUGCCUGUCCGAGCGUCAUU